GAUGAAGAACGCAGCGAAAUGCGAUAAGUAAUGUGAAUUGCAGAAUUCAGUGAAUCAUCGAAUCUUUGAACGCACAUUGCGCCCCCUGGUAUUCCGGGGGGCAUGCCUGUUCGAGCGUCAUUUCACCACUCAAGCCUCGCUUGGUAUUGGGCAACGCGGUCCGCCGCGUGCCUCAAAUCGUCCGGCUGGGUCUUCUGUCCCCUAAGCGUUGUGGAAACUAUUCUCUAAAGGGUGUUCGGGAGGCUACGCCGUAAAACAACCCCAUUUCUAAGGUUGACCUCGGAUCAGGUAGGGAUACCCGCUGAACUUAAGCAUAUCAAUAAGCGGAGGA
This 331-nucleotide unclassified non-coding RNA is filed under the name soil metagenome. RNAcentral's name for it is "partial contains 5.8S ribosomal RNA, internal transcribed spacer 2, and large subunit ribosomal RNA". The stretch from base 1 to 120 matches the Rfam family "5.8S ribosomal RNA", at positions 35 to 154 of the family's 154-position model. The record is from RNAcentral.